Molecule: ribosomal RNA, 497 nt
Filed under: uncultured bacterium
Lineage: Bacteria
Description: partial 16S ribosomal RNA
Rfam family: Bacterial small subunit ribosomal RNA
Source: RNAcentral
AAUGAACGCUGGCGGCGUGCCUAACACAUGCAAGUCGAACGAACACACGGGGAGCUUUCUCCCCUGACGUUAGCGGCGGACGGGUGAGUAACACGUGGAUAACCUACCUCUAAGACUGGGAUAAUUACGGGAAACAGGAUCUACUAACGCAUAAUAUAUCGAACCGGUUGGUUCAAUAGUGCUAGACGCUUUUGGUGACUGUAAUAGCCGAUUCCGGGUUAGAUAAGUUAGUUGGUAAGGUAACAGCUUACCAAGGCUACGAUGCGUAGCUGACCUGAGAGGGUGAUCCGCCACACGGGAACUGAGACACGGUCCAGACUCCUACGGGAGGCAGCAGUAGGGAAUCUUCCGCAAUGGGCGAAAGCCUGAUGGAGCAACACCGCGUGAGUGAUGAAGGUCUUCGGAUCGUAAAGCUCUGUUGUUAGGGAAGAACAAAAGUGUAUGUAACUAUGGACGUCUUGACGGUACCUAAUCAAUAAGCACCGGCUAACUCCGUG